RNAcentral lists this ribosomal RNA (253 nucleotides) under uncultured bacterium. Its description in RNAcentral is "partial 16S ribosomal RNA". It matches the Rfam family "Bacterial small subunit ribosomal RNA", at positions 524 to 776 of the family's 1533-position model. The record is from RNAcentral.
GACGAACCGUGCGAACGUUGUUCGGAAUCACUGGGCUUAAAGGGCGCGUAGGCGGGUCAUCAAGUCAGGGGUGAAAUACUCCGGCCUAACCGGAGAACGGCUUCUGAUACUGGUGACCUCGAGGGGUGUAGGGGCAUGCGGAACUUCCGGUGGAGCGGUGAAAUGCGUAGAUAUCGGAAGGAACGCCGGUGGCGAAAGCGGCGUGCUGGACACCUUCUGACGCUGAGGCACGAAGGCUAGGGGAGCAAACGGG